This 117-nucleotide non-coding RNA is filed under the name Epulopiscium sp. Nele67-Bin004. Its description in RNAcentral is "FMN riboswitch aptamer (RFN element)". It matches the Rfam family "FMN riboswitch aptamer (RFN element)". From Rfam's summary of the family: The RFN element is a highly conserved domain that is found frequently in the 5'-untranslated regions of prokaryotic mRNAs that encode for flavin mononucleotide (FMN) biosynthesis and transport proteins. This element is a metabolite-dependent riboswitch that directly binds FMN in the absence of proteins. RNAcentral also lists the same sequence under 1 other name. Lineage: Bacteria; Bacillati; Bacillota; Clostridia; Lachnospirales; Lachnospiraceae. The record is from Rfam by way of RNAcentral.
UCAAUUCUUCAGGGCAGGGUGAAAUUCCCGAUCGGCGGUAAAGUCCGUGAGUGCAUAUGCAUUGACUUGGUGUAAUUCCAAGACCGACAGUUAUAGUCUGGAUGGUAGAAGAGUUGC